UUUGGAACAAGGUCUUUCAAUCCAAUUUGUAAAACAGAAGCAGUAGUUGCACAAAAGCAAACAAAUGCAAAAAACAAACAGUUGGUAGAAGCUGUAGCAUGGUGCAAAGAAAAGAGUGUAAGAGGGCAGUGUGCCUUUAAAUCAGGAGUUUUCCGCUUGAUUUAAGAUUGAGAAACAAUAAAUCGACGUCUAAAUGGUAAAAUAAAGACAGGAAAAGAACGACAAUACUGCUCAAUAUUAUUAGAAGAAGAAGAGAACUCAAUUGUACGUUUUUUGAAAAAUAAAAAUAGCUCCUUGCAAGGUAUCAAUAAUGCACAAUUGACCAAAUUAAUGUUAGAUACAUUCAAAAUAAGAGAUUACACCAACAAGAAAUUAGGAAAAGGACAAAAAUAUCAGCCACUAUCAUCUGCUUCAAAAUUGGAAUAAAAAAAUCAACGAUUUGGUCGCUCAUUUUGGCUAAAAUUUCAUGCAAAACAUGAUAGUUUAACAGUCAAACGUCAGGGACAAGUGCCAAUCAACAGAGUCUUUAAUUGUAGAAGGAAAAUGGCUCGCAAUCACUUAGAUGCACUAGUAGAGGAACUUAUUGCAGCUGGAAUUAUGAGAGAAGCAACGCAAAUUAAGACAAGAAUUUGGAAAGGAAAUAUUGACACCACAAGAAUUUUUAAUAAUGAUGAACUUCCUCAAUUCAUGAUGGAACUACUUCUCUUUUGGUCGAUGCUGCGAAAGGAGAUCAAUGUAAAAAAAUGCGAAAAGAAAACAGAGAAUGUAUUAGAAUUAAUCCCUUCGUGUCAU
Molecule: long non-coding RNA, 792 nt
Organism: Hydra vulgaris (swiftwater hydra)
Lineage: Eukaryota; Metazoa; Cnidaria; Hydrozoa; Anthoathecata; Hydridae
Source: RefSeq, a predicted model, not a curated record